Molecule: long non-coding RNA, 1176 nt
Organism: Clarias gariepinus (North African catfish)
Lineage: Eukaryota; Metazoa; Chordata; Actinopteri; Siluriformes; Clariidae
Exons: 6
Source: RefSeq, a predicted model, not a curated record
AGCAACCGCCGGAGAACACCAAGAAGAAGAAGAAGUCAGGUGGUGUGUUUGUGCCGAAUGACGUCAUAGUAGGAACUCGGGGAGACAUUUUACUUCCUGAAAGCAACAGGAAAUACCAUAUCAUCUGUUUGUGCAUCAAUUCCAAUUCGAAAUGUCCUCUCACACUUUUCCUUUGAUUGCGGCUCAAGUAGAUGAUCAGGUUGGGAUGCCACCCAACAGUGUAAACAAAUGUGAUGUCUUUGAAAGUGAAUUAGCUGGGCUCUACACAGAAGGUGGUCGUGUAGAUCUUGACAAAGUUGCCAGUGUUGUACAAAAGUACAGCGGUACAAAAAUUCCCCUGAAAAAAAACAAGUGACAGUCUUCGAGUGUGUGGGCAGGAUGACACGGUCUAUGGUGGAAAUGAGGAACAGCUAGAAGCCUGGAAAGAUUUCUACCUACCAGAGAGAAUGGAAAUGGUGGUGAUUGGUGCGAUUGAUAGGUUCCAUUUUGUUACAUUUGGCCAGCAGUUAGUUCUCUUAUUGUGUGAAGAUGGAAAGAUCUUCGCCUAUGAAGAUGAAGAACUCCACCUCGUAGCAAGAAAUGUAAACGAACUGUUUGAAACUGGCCUUACCUUUCCUGGAUUAGAAUGCUACAAGAUGGGGGAAUGUUUCGAGGACGAUACAGAAGAAGAAUACAAUGAAAUCAUGGAAUCUGAUGAAAUGAAAAAAGAGGAACAGGAGUACCUCGAUUUCUAUGAAUCGAUGUGGAGUAAAGUACGGGAACUGUGUGGGUACUCAAAGCACUGAAUUUAAGGUGAUGCUCAAUGCAAGGUGAGGAGAAAAGCAUGGUCCAGCUCAAGAUGAAUUCAGAAACAAAAAGUGCUGGGAGAUGUUCGCAAAGAUAUGGAAAUUGUUCCUGUAGAUAAGAACUCAGAAAUGGUUAAAUUAAUUAGUUACAGAAAUGUCAGAGACCACUUUUAUGAUUUCUGAACAGUAAUGUUUGGGAAAAAACAAAAACAGUGGUCACUGACUUUUGCACAAUACUGUAUGUAUAUAUAUAUAUGUGUGUGUGUGUGUGUGUAUAUAUAAAUAAAGUAAUCUUGAACUUUUCGAUGGAUUUCACCUGCAUUCAAUUGAAAUAUUAUGUGAUAAAUCCACCUGUUCUUGCAAGGCUCCAGAGUUUGAUAGAAAACAAGAC